GAUUUCAAGCAGCUGUCCAGGUUGACGAGCUGCCGAAAAUCGGCUGGAGCUCAUUCCGACUUUGAGCCUGGUUGUGAACACAUCAAAAAAAGUUUUCAAUCUCCAAAAACUAACAUCUUUUGGAACACUUAAUUUUGUUUGUGAACACCUGUACUCUCUGUCGAAACCAUCCUCCAUCACCUCUUCCUGUUCCUGCUCCUACGCCAGCUGACUACGCUCAUCAGGAUGUGCUGCAAUCCCGGUGGCUGCUGCGGUCUGCCCGCCUGUAUCCAGUGCACCAACUUCUGCUUCAACUGCUGGACCGGCACGGCGAGCGUUCCCAGCUGUCGCCCUGGCUACACACCAGCCUGUCCGCUCUAUCGCGGCUGCUGCGGUGGGCCUCGAGGCUGUUGCUAGCUUCCCGUCUCUCAUAGAAAAUCAUCCGUGAAUAAAUCUUAACAAAAAGAUACCAACACCCGAGAA
Molecule: long non-coding RNA, 462 nt
Organism: Drosophila miranda
Lineage: Eukaryota; Metazoa; Arthropoda; Insecta; Diptera; Drosophilidae
Exons: 2
Source: RefSeq, a predicted model, not a curated record